RNAcentral lists this microRNA (22 nucleotides) under Mus musculus (house mouse). RNAcentral describes it as "mmu-miR-3113-5p". The record is from miRBase by way of RNAcentral. Lineage: Eukaryota; Metazoa; Chordata; Mammalia; Rodentia; Muridae.
GUCCUGGCCCUGGUCCGGGUCC